AUUGAACGCUGGCGGCAGGCCUAACACAUGCCAGUCGAGCGGAUGAAGGGAGCUUGCUCCUGGAUUCAGCGGCGGACGGGUGAGUAAUGCCUAGGAAUCUGCCUGGUAGUGGGGGAUAACGUCCGGAAACGGGCGCUAAUACCGCAUACGUCCUGAGGGAGAAAGUGGGGGAUCUUCGGACCUCACGCUAUCAGAUGAGCCUAGGUCGGAUUAGCUAGUUGGUGGGGUAAAGGCCUACCAAGGCGACGAUCCGUAACUGGUCUGAGAGGAUGAUCAGUCACACUGGAACUGAGACACGGUCCAGACUCCUACGGGAGGCAGCAGUGGGGAAUAUUGGACAAUGGGCGAAAGCCUGAUCCAGCCAUGCCGCGUGUGUGAAGAAGGUCUUCGGAUUGUAAAGCACUUUAAGUUGGGAGGAAGGGCAGUAUGUUAAUACCUUGCUGUUUUGACGUUACCAACAGAAUAAGCACCGGCUAACUUCGUG
RNAcentral lists this ribosomal RNA (484 nucleotides) under uncultured bacterium. RNAcentral describes it as "partial 16S ribosomal RNA". It matches the Rfam family "Bacterial small subunit ribosomal RNA", at positions 30 to 507 of the family's 1533-position model. The record is from RNAcentral.